RNAcentral lists this ribosomal RNA (378 nucleotides) under uncultured organism. RNAcentral's name for it is "partial 16S ribosomal RNA". It matches the Rfam family "Bacterial small subunit ribosomal RNA", at positions 527 to 896 of the family's 1533-position model. The record is from RNAcentral.
GUAGGUGGCAAGCGUUGUCCGGAAUUAUUGGGGCGUAAAGCGCGCGCAGGCGGUCCUUUUAAGGUCUGAUGUGAAAGCCCACGGGCUCAACCGUGGGAGGGGUCAUUGGAAACUGGGGGACUUGAGUGCAGAAGAGGAGAGUGGAAUUCCACGUGUAGCGGUGAAAUGCGUAGAGAUGUGGAGGAACACCAGUGGCGAAGGCGACUCUCUGGUCUGUAACUGACGCUGAGGCGCGAAAGCGUGGGGAGCGAACAGGAUUAGAUACCCUGGUAGUCCACGCCGUAAACGAUGAGUGCUAAGUGUUAGAGGGUUUCCGCCCUUUAGUGCUGCAGCUAACGCAUUAAGCACUCCGCCUGGGGAGUACGGUCGCAAAGACUG